AUGGUCGUGGAGCCGGCUCGCCCUCGUCUUCGAUCUGGAUCGGGUGGGGGAGGUGCCUGGCGGGCGGUGCGGGCUGGAGCUGGCGCGGACGCCGGGGGACGGCCCCGGUGCGGUGGUGCGGAGCGGCGCGCUCAGCCAUGGCAGCCCGCUGUGGAGGCGGGCGACAGUGGCGUGGCGGCGCAAGAUGUGGGCGCGUGCGAUGGCGUGCACGGCGGAUCUGGCCUGGCGGAGCUUGUGGGCUAUGCUGCUCCUUCGGCGGCGGCUUUGAGUGGUGCCAUGGGCCGGCUUCGUCAGAGGGGAUUGGAGGAUGCUGGGGUGGCGGCCCCGGGCCUGACGCCGCCUGGUCUUGCUGGCGGUCUGGUCGUCGUGCGUGGAUCUUGUUCCUACUUCGAGGAUCCACGCCGAGUGGUGGUGGUUCUGCCGAUGAAGCGGGAGGUGCUGCGGCUGGCAGGUCACUGA
This 459-nucleotide ribosomal RNA is filed under the name Triticum aestivum (bread wheat). RNAcentral's name for it is "partial small subunit ribosomal RNA". Lineage: Eukaryota; Viridiplantae; Streptophyta; Magnoliopsida; Poales; Poaceae. The record is from RNAcentral.